CCUACGGGAGGCUGCAGUGGGGAAUCUUGGACAAUGGGGGCAACCCUGAUCCAGCCAUGCCGCGUGUGCGAUGAAGGCCCUCGGGUUGUAAAGCACUUUUGGCGGGGAAUACGAUGAAGGUACCCGCAGAAUAAGUCACGGCUAACUUCGUGCCAGCAGCCGCGGUAAUACGAAGGUGGCGAAUGAUACUCGGAUUUACUGGGCGUAAAGCGUCCGCAGGUGGUUUAUCAAGUCAGGUGUGAAAUCCCCGUGCUCAACAUGGGAACUGCAUUUGA
This 275-nucleotide ribosomal RNA is filed under the name uncultured bacterium. Its description in RNAcentral is "partial 16S ribosomal RNA". It matches the Rfam family "Bacterial small subunit ribosomal RNA", at positions 338 to 630 of the family's 1533-position model. The record is from RNAcentral.